GGAGGUGGAGUCAUGCUACAAUCCCUAUCAGCUGAGGACUCAUGCUCGGAUCCCUAUCUGGUAGUGGAGAGGGUGCCCUAGCUGAUGGCCUAAGUGAUCUUUCCCUUGAGCUUUUAGGAGAGGAUCCCAAGGUCGGGGGAUUCGGCUGUAUAAUCCUUAUGUAGCGCUUGGGCCAUAGAAUCCAACCAUGGAUAGCUUCAACCUAUAUUCUUUUCCCUGUCACCUCCAAGGAUCUCCAGUUCCAAGUCAUCCCAACCAUCGACCACUCGGUCCACCCCAACUUUGGCAUAACCGCAAGCUG
This 301-nucleotide long non-coding RNA is filed under the name Setaria viridis. RNAcentral's name for it is "long non-coding RNA (SVIR_LNC010798)". Lineage: Eukaryota; Viridiplantae; Streptophyta; Magnoliopsida; Poales; Poaceae. The record is from RNAcentral.